This 342-nucleotide ribosomal RNA is filed under the name uncultured Methanoculleus sp. RNAcentral's name for it is "bacterial SSU rRNA". It matches the Rfam family "Archaeal small subunit ribosomal RNA", at positions 995 to 1338 of the family's 1478-position model. Lineage: Archaea; Methanobacteriati; Methanobacteriota; Methanomicrobia; Methanomicrobiales; Methanomicrobiaceae. The record is from RNAcentral.
UGGCCGUCGUCAGUCGUACUGUGAAGCAUCCUGUUAAGUCAGGCAACGAGCGAGACCACGCCCACAGUUGCCAGCGUACUCUCUGGAGUGACGGGUACACUGUGGGGACCGCCGCUGCUAAAGCGGAGGAAGGAAUGGGCAACGGUAGGUCAGUAUGCCCCGAAUAUCCGGGCUACACGCGGGCUACAAUGGUCAGGACAAUGGGUAUCAACACCGAAAGGUGAAGGCAAUCUCCUAAACCUGUCCUUAGUUCGGAUUGUGGGCUGCAACUCGCCCACAUGAAGCUGGAAUCUGUAGUAAUCGCGUCUCAAAAUUGGCGCGGUGAAUAUGUCCCUGCUCCUU